This 465-nucleotide ribosomal RNA is filed under the name uncultured bacterium. RNAcentral's name for it is "bacterial SSU rRNA". It matches the Rfam family "Bacterial small subunit ribosomal RNA", at positions 339 to 796 of the family's 1533-position model. The record is from RNAcentral.
CUACGGGAGGCAGCAGUGGGGAAUAUUGGACAAUGGGGGGAACCCUGAUCCAGCAAUGCCGCGUGUGUGAAGAAGGCCUGCGGGUUGUAAAGCACUUUUGUUAGGGAGGAGUGUAUAAAGGUUAAGAGCUAUUAUACAGGACGUUACCUAAAGAAAAAGCACCGGCUAACUCCGUGCCAGCAGCCGCGGUAAUACGGAGGGUGCGAGCGUUAAUCGGAAUUACUGGGCGUAAAGGGUGCGUAGGCGGCGCUGUAAGUUACUUGUGAAAUUCCUGGGCUCAACCUGGGGUGGACGGGUGAUACUGCGGUGCUAGAGUAUAGGAGAGGGCAGUGGAAUUUCCGGUGUAGCGGUGAAAUGCGUAGAUAUCGGAAGGAACACCGGUGGCGAAGGCGGCUGUCUGGCCUGAUACUGACGCUGAGGAGCGAAAGCCAGGGGAGCAAACGGGAUUAGAUACCCUAGUAGUCC